Echinops telfairi (small Madagascar hedgehog) is the source of this 184-nucleotide small nuclear RNA. Its record names the gene U2. It matches the Rfam family "U2 spliceosomal RNA". From Rfam's summary of the family: U2 is a small nuclear RNA (snRNA) component of the spliceosome (involved in pre-mRNA splicing). The record is from Ensembl. NCBI's taxonomy places the organism in Eukaryota, Metazoa, Chordata, Mammalia, Afrosoricida, Tenrecidae.
AACCCCUCUUGGCCUUUUGACUGAGAUCAAGUGUAGUGUCUGUUCUUACCCGUUUACUACAUAAUACGACCUCUAUCAGAGGACAGUGUAUUAAAUGGAUUUUUGGAGCAGGGAGGUGAAAUGGGAGCUUGCCCCUUCCACUACACGCAAGGACCUGGUAUGGGCCAGCAACAGUGGCCCCCUC